GGAUUGUGGCUCAGUGGUAGAGUGCUUGCCUAGCAUGUAUGAGGCACUGGAUUCGAUCCUCAGCACCA
Molecule: transfer RNA, 68 nt
Filed under: Marmota monax (woodchuck)
Lineage: Eukaryota; Metazoa; Chordata; Mammalia; Rodentia; Sciuridae
Description: tRNA.Ala
Source: RNAcentral